RNAcentral lists this transfer RNA (72 nucleotides) under Rickettsiaceae bacterium. RNAcentral describes it as "tRNA-Arg". It matches the Rfam family "tRNA". From Rfam's summary of the family: Transfer RNA (tRNA) molecules are approximately 80 nucleotides in length. Their secondary structure includes four short double-helical elements and three loops (D, anti-codon, and T loops). Further hydrogen bonds mediate the characteristic L-shaped molecular structure. tRNAs have two regions of fundamental functional importance: the anti-codon, which is responsible for specific mRNA codon recognition, and the 3' end, to which the tRNAs corresponding amino acid is attached (by aminoacyl-tRNA synthetases). tRNAs cope with the degeneracy of the genetic code in two manners: having more than one tRNA (with a specific anti-codon) for a particular amino acid; and 'wobble' base-pairing, i.e. permitting non-standard base-pairing at the 3rd anti-codon position. Lineage: Bacteria; Pseudomonadati; Pseudomonadota; Alphaproteobacteria; Rickettsiales; Rickettsiaceae. The record is from RNAcentral.
GGGAGCUUAGUAUAACGGUAAUGCAAUGGAUUUCUAUUCCUUAAGAUCUCAGUUCAAAUCUGGGAGCUUCCA